GACCCCGCAUUGGGACAAUAAGAAGAUUUGGGAGUAUCAGCAGGCUGUGUCAUAGCCUCAGCUGUUGUAGUUGCCUGCACGCAUUAGGUUAAGAUUCUAGCCCAAAAGAGUGUGAAGAAAAUGUUGAAAAAUGUAACAGUAAUGCAAUGUAAAUGCUCUGAAGGCAAGCAGAACUCUUUCUUUAUAAUUUUUAAAAAUCUCGUUUUGUUUAAGCCAGCCGCACCAUUUUCUAGGGAAUGACUCAUGAUUUUUUAACACAUUUAGUUGUCAUAGUUUAGUUGUCCUGUUCCAUACACAUCUGGGGAAUUGUAGCUAUUCUUGACAGUCUUAUUUUGUAGAUUGUAAAGUCUUUGUGAUAGGGACAUCACUUACAUGUAUUACAAAGUAUUGCUUUUUUCUAACAAGAGUCCUCCUCCACAACUGGGUCUUGGGGCACUUUCAUAACCUAUGUUUAAAAAUAAUAGUAAUAACAACAACAACAAUAAUAAUAGCAAUAUCUAAAUAAUAAUCAGGGGAAGGCCAUUGGCAGUGGUCUCUAUGCCCCGAAUACCUUACCUAUUCAGUAUUAUCAGAAUAAGAAAUUGGAGGGGAGGAGAGGAAACCCUAAUUCCUGAAAUUAUUUUGCAGAUAUUAUUUGUCUUUGAAAGGGAUAACGUUAUUUUCUGGCAGGCAGUUUGGGCUGCAGUACGGAGGAAAAUAUACAACUGGCAUUGUUGUUGGGGUAGACAGGUACUGACUAAUGGCAGAGGUCUGGAAAUCAGAACACAGAUGUGGAUUUGGAGAAAAAAUUGGAGAGCAGAAGAAAAAUGCCAAAUUCAUCCAGGAAUACUGGGAUUGUAGCUUGUGCUAGCAAAAUCUUGUUGCAAUCCAGUGCACAUAUUUACUUUUGUAAUCUCAGAAAAUAUAUACCUGUAAUGGCGCAAUUGUAACUGACAGAAACUUAGGAGAUUUGGGGAAAAUUGUGCAAUUAGCUUCUGACAAUUAACUUCUGCAGCAUAGUCAUUACUAUGCUUGUUGCUGGGGUUACUAUGGAUCUUCAAAAUUUAGGAUAAGUAUAUGUGGAGUGUAGGAAGUUGCACGGGAACUGUGCCAUUGAGUCAUAUAUAUUUACAUUUUUCAGAAAGACUGGGAAACCAAGUAUGUCUAGAAGGAUUAGUAAAACAGGGCAAAAGCUUAAUGUGUUACCUGGCAGCUAGGGUCAUACAGGAGUUGAAACCACCCUGUCUAAUGGGGAUACAUGAGUGGAAAGCAAAGAGGUUGUUUUUCUUUUCUGUUGUUACUGGGGAAAAAGUAUAGAGGGGGACUGAAGCAGAUUUUUCCUUUGACAUUUCCUUGUUAAAAUGUUUUUUUGUGAUCCUGUGUUUUCUGUUGAGGGAUACAAAUAUUACACUUUCACUGCACACCAUGGGGCUCCAGGAUACAACUGUGACUCUGGAACUGAUGGGGAAACAGGUACGGCAGAAAGAAGGGAGACAGACAAGAACGAGCAGCAGAUUAGCUUUUCCAUCUUAAGAAAAGACCUCUGCCCUCCUCUGGAGACUUCUGAAAGAUGAUGGGUGUUUCUACCAUCCCAUAACUAUGAAGGAUUGCUGAUGGAAGUGCUUCAGUUAUUAGGCCUGUGAAAUGAGGAUGAUGAUGCUUGCUUCACAACAGAGGUCCAUAUAACCCUGAUAAGGGAACAGUGCUGCACAAGAGCAAAGUGAAACUUCAUAAAGGAGAAGAGUGAGGAAUUUUAAAACAAAGACACAUAAAGGACAUCAUAAAUUGAUUAUUAAAUAAUAGCAAAACAUAUUGCUGGGCAGAUGCAACAUAAGACACCAAAACAUACCAAGUCUUGACUAACUGUGAAUAAAUCACAAUCUAACCUUUUUAUGAACGCUGCUAUCGGCUAAGGAAUUGACUUUACAGAGGUGUGUCCAUUUUUGUGCUAUGGAAAUAAAGCUGUAAUUGUAGUCAGUGUUUGGCAGCUAGCUAGGAUGCAGUUAGAAUUCCAUGAAUCUGAAUCCUUUUGUAGGACACCAUUAAACAGCUGGUUACUGUGGAGCGGAUUCCUCACAAAGAAGUUGUAGUGCAACAAGCUUUCCAGGGACGAAUACAGGCUCUGAGUAGAUAAGGCAAGGGAAUUAAAAUUAAUUGAAAGACCAUUGUGUUGUAAAGCACAUGGAUUUCAAGACCUGGGAUAAAGGAUCUGGUUUAAUUGCUAAUGAAGUGUUUAAGUGGGCUAAUGAAGGAAGAGUGUGUAUGUAGGUAUGUACACUUGUUACUAACAAGAAAAAUCAUAGUUUCUACAGAUUCAAUUGCUACAAUAGACAAGUUUAUAUAUAUGUAUCUUCAAAUGUAGUAAAUAUUGUACUUCCAAAAUUGUGAA
This is a long non-coding RNA of Calidris pugnax (ruff), 2368 nucleotides long. RefSeq lists it as uncharacterized. The transcript is spliced from 3 exons. Lineage: Eukaryota; Metazoa; Chordata; Aves; Charadriiformes; Scolopacidae. The record is from RefSeq and is a predicted model, not a curated record.